AGCCAUGCUGAUGCGAAAUGACUUGUAUCUGCGUUACACCACCAGUGUCCAUUAAGGCAGCGUCUAACGAUGAUACGCUCGUAUUAAAAGCUUUGACAAAAGACGAGUCUUUUUUUUUUUUUUUUUUUAAAGUAGGAGUCGUUUUUCAAAGUAGGAGUCCGACAGUCCCCACUGUGCUCGCAGGAGCCGCUAAUGCUCUUACGCAAUCGUUUGUUUGGCCUUGCUAUUCAUUUCUGUAGGUCGUGAAGCCGCUCUAAAAGCCCGUCGGAAAGCCUGUGGGUGUGCGAGAGAUUGAAGAAAAAUAACUCGAUAACUAACUUUGCUGAAUGGAGAAGGCUGAAAAGUUAAUCCAACGCGUGACCCAGAGUCAGCAAGAUACUCCUCGAGGUGCUCCCUGAAAUACUCCGGGAAGAAGUCUACGGCUGGUGUUUUUGUCAGUCAUGUGACCACUUCAUAUCAAGAUACCUCUGAACGGAGCUCUCAACAACUGGACGCUACAGCCUGGAGAUGGUACCGCUUGGAGUACCACGAUAUGGUCUUGGACUUCAAUUCUACAUGGACGUUCUCGCUGUGGUUGCUGGGACUACGGUUGCUGCGAUGGCAAUUACCACAUGCAGUUUUGCACGCAGGUCUCCUUUAGUGAGCAGCGGACUAGUUCAACAAAGACUUC
Ictalurus punctatus (channel catfish) is the source of this 670-nucleotide long non-coding RNA. Lineage: Eukaryota; Metazoa; Chordata; Actinopteri; Siluriformes; Ictaluridae. The record is from Ensembl.